This 72-nucleotide antisense RNA is filed under the name Rhodococcus rhodochrous. RNAcentral describes it as "ASpks sRNA". It matches the Rfam family "ASpks TB sRNA". The record is from RNAcentral. Lineage: Bacteria; Bacillati; Actinomycetota; Actinomycetes; Mycobacteriales; Nocardiaceae.
CUUGACCGACCCCAGCCACAGCGGCCGGCCGUCGCGUUGCUGCCCGUAGGUGGCGAGCAACGCCUGGGCCUC